RNAcentral lists this unclassified non-coding RNA (329 nucleotides) under soil metagenome. RNAcentral describes it as "partial contains 5.8S ribosomal RNA, internal transcribed spacer 2, and large subunit ribosomal RNA". The stretch from base 1 to 120 matches the Rfam family "5.8S ribosomal RNA", at positions 35 to 154 of the family's 154-position model. The record is from RNAcentral.
GAUGAAGAACGCAGCGAAAUGCGAUAAGUAAUGUGAAUUGCAGAAUUCAGUGAAUCAUCGAAUCUUUGAACGCACAUUGCGCCCCCUGGUAUUCCGGGGGGCAUGCCUGUCCGAGCGUCAUUACAACCCUCAAGCUCAGCUUGGUGUUGGGCCCCGCCGCCCCGGCGGGCCCUAAAGUCGGUGGCGGUGCCGUCCGGCUCCGAGCGUAGUAAUUCUUCUCGCUCUGGAGGUCCGGUCGUGUGCUCGCCAGCAACCCCCAAUUUUUUUCAGGUUGACCUCGGAUCAGGUAGGGAUACCCGCUGAACUUAAGCAUAUCAAUAAGCGGAGGA